UACGGGGGGGGCAAGCGUUGUUCGGAAUUACUGGGCGUAAAGGGCUCGUAGGCGGCCAACUAAGUCAGACGUGAAAUCCCUCGGCUUAACCGGGGAACUGCGUCUGAUACUGGAUGGCUCGAGUUUUGGGAGAGGGAUGCGGAAUUCCAGGUGUAGCGGUGAAAUGCGUAGAUAUCUGGAGGAACACCGGUGGCGAAGGCGGCAUCCUGGACCAACACUGACGCUGAUGAGCGAAAGCCAGGGGAGCAAACGGG
This 254-nucleotide ribosomal RNA is filed under the name uncultured bacterium. RNAcentral's name for it is "partial 16S ribosomal RNA". It matches the Rfam family "Bacterial small subunit ribosomal RNA", at positions 524 to 776 of the family's 1533-position model. The record is from RNAcentral.